RNAcentral lists this ribosomal RNA (253 nucleotides) under uncultured prokaryote. RNAcentral describes it as "partial 16S ribosomal RNA". It matches the Rfam family "Bacterial small subunit ribosomal RNA", at positions 525 to 777 of the family's 1533-position model. The record is from RNAcentral.
ACGGGGGGGGCAAGCGUUGUUCGGAAUUACUGGGCGUAAAGGGCUCGCAGGCGGUUUCUUAAGUCUGAUGUGAAAGCCCCCGGCUCAACCGGGGAGGGUCAUUGGAAACUGGGAAACUUGAGUGCAGAAGAGGAGAGUGGAAUUCCACGUGUAGCGGUGAAAUGCGUAGAGAUGUGGAGGAACACCAGUGGCGAAGGCGACUCUCUGGUCUGUAACUGACGCUGAGGAGCGAAAGCGUGGGGAGCGAACAGGA